Small nucleolar RNA from Brienomyrus brachyistius, 74 nucleotides. Lineage: Eukaryota; Metazoa; Chordata; Actinopteri; Osteoglossiformes; Mormyridae. The record is from RefSeq and is a predicted model, not a curated record.
CUGCGAUGAUGCUUUGAAUUUCUUCACCUGAAUGACUGUGUGGAGUAAAAACGAGCUUUUUAACACUGAGCUUC